Molecule: long non-coding RNA, 1334 nt
Organism: Macrobrachium nipponense
Lineage: Eukaryota; Metazoa; Arthropoda; Malacostraca; Decapoda; Palaemonidae
Exons: 3
Source: RefSeq, a predicted model, not a curated record
ACUCAUAGGGAAAUGUGUGGUAACAAUGCGUCCAAUGUUUACUUGAUAACUUUUGAUGUCAUUUCAACAGUUCACGUUCAAUGUCCUUUAAAUACUUUCAGUAUAAGGUUACUUAUGAAGAGGAACGUGAAACAAUCGUUCAUUUUGUAUCUGUGAACAAACAUUACACAUUAUGAAGAGUGAACGGUGGCUAGGCCUAAUUGCAAUCAUCUGCUCCACCGGAAGCCAUGACAGCUGGCCAUCCUACGCUGGGCCCUCCUGCAAUUGUUGUGUUGGCAUCAGCCUAGAUACCCAUUCUUGUCAUCAACCAACUAGACUCACUUUACCAGUCAUCCUUAGUCUUUGGUUGUUUAUUUUGGCAACUUAAGCAUACUACUUGUGACUCUUUGUCAAGUGAAUCUUCUAGUCUUGUAGUCUCACUGGUUAGGCUAAUCUCUCCCACCAGUGGCUUUGAUCCUCAAAGUUCUCCUCAAGCGAGAGAUGUUGGAGCUACAGUGAAAAGGCCAAAGUAAUGGGCACCCUACAUGAAGACAAUUCCAAAGCUUGGCUGUAGGAGGAAAGCAGCUGUUUAACAGUUUUCAGAGUUGAGAACGAAUCCUUUUAGGGAGGCCCUACUAGUCUAGAAAUGUGAUUCACCAAGAGCACAGCUUGAUUUCAAGACAUUAGUCAUUCCUCAGCUGUGCCAGAUACUCUCUUAACAGGUGAGAUGUUAUUUUGUCUAACAGUAUCCUCUCAUGAUUUGAGACCAGUUUAAAUUGCAUUUUGAUCCUUGCACAUUAUCAAUCUUAAUAGAAACACACAAUGAAGAAACCCUUUUGCUAAUUUAGUGAGUAAAGAGCAAAAUCAGCUUAUUUACAUAAAUUUCAUUAAAGGCAACAGCUUUCAAAUGGUCUCUACCUACAAACAUUGCAUUUAUAAUACAAGUUAGUGAAAUCUUGUUUCAGAUGCAAAUGUUGAUUUCUUAAAAGUUCUCAAUUACUUUGAACUUCCAUUUAUAAACUAGCAAAAUAACUUUUCUGGCCAAUUUGAAAAAAUUAACUAUUGCUUGUUUAUGUGUAACAUGAAUAUAUUUUGUCACUGCAUCAAGUUUUUAUAUCCGUUGUAAAUUAAUAUUAAGAACAAUUGGAGAACUCAAUCUGUACAGUAUACAAUUAAAAUACUACAUCUUUUCUUACACUAAACAAAAAAGAGACAUCAGCAGCCUUAUUUUGGAUCAACUCUCAUUCACCUUUCAGAUAACAAUGUACUAUAAAUAACCACAAUGAAAAAAGUUCUUGCUAUUUCGUCUUCAUUUGCAAUUGUUAACUUAUACUAACAUACAAAAUGAGCGAUAC